This is a long non-coding RNA of Micropterus salmoides (largemouth bass), 588 nucleotides long. RefSeq lists it as uncharacterized. Lineage: Eukaryota; Metazoa; Chordata; Actinopteri; Centrarchiformes; Centrarchidae. The transcript is spliced from 3 exons. The record is from RefSeq and is a predicted model, not a curated record.
UGGCCAGCAUUAAAAGAAGGUCCCAGCGCCUUUACAAAGACACCGAUGGCAGCAAAGGUCGGAAAGAAAGAAUCGUCUUUGACAUCAUUCUCUCUGACGAGACAGUUUGGCCAUGGCAACUUUCACAUGGUGACGCUGUAGAUUUGAAAAUCAAGAGGAAGGCGUUUGAUGUUGUGAUGGCAAUAAGGAGACUUGAGGAGGAGAAGAAGAUUGUUCUUUCUGAGAUGGCAAAGCAUUGGAAAUCUCUCUCCACUCGUGCAGACACACUCAAGGAGAUGUCAUCCCAGCUUUCCAGUGAGGCAUUGCAAAGUGAGCUGUGGGCUCUAAAUGAAGAAGGGAUCGAGGGUUUCCUCAGCUUAACUUUGAGAAAGAAGCAAGAAGUCACCAGAAUGAUGAAGCAUGCAAGAGACUGCUAUGCUCAAGUUUUUGAUCAUAUUCAGUGAAAUCGACACUAUAAUCGCCCUAUUUCUGAUACCGUGGGGGGCAGAAAUGUUCAGUAGCACCUCAAUGCAGUACAUGAGAUCCACGGGGAGGAGUCGGAUCAAGAUCCAAGGGGUGGAGAUGGGUAGGAUUAGGGUUGGGUUUAGG